AUACGUAGGGGGCGAGCGUUGUCCGGAAUUAUUGGGCGUAAAGCGCGCGCAGGCGGUCCUUUAAGUCUGGUGUUUAAGCGCGGGGCUCAACCCCGUAGAUGCACUGGAAACUGGGGGACUUGAGUGCGGGAGAGGAAAGCGGAAUUCCCGGUGUAGCGGUGAAAUGCGUAGAGAUCGGGAGGAACACCAGUGGCGAAGGCGGCUUUCUGGACCGUAACUGACGCUGAGGCGCGAAAGCGUGGGGAGCAAACAGGAUUAGAUACCCUGGUAGUCCACGCCGUAAACGAUGAGUGCCAGGUGUUGCGGGGGUUUACCCUGCGGUGCCGAAGGAAACCCAAUAAGCACUCCGCCUGGGGAGUACGGCCGCAAGGCUGAA
RNAcentral lists this ribosomal RNA (376 nucleotides) under uncultured bacterium. Its description in RNAcentral is "bacterial SSU rRNA". It matches the Rfam family "Bacterial small subunit ribosomal RNA", at positions 523 to 898 of the family's 1533-position model. The record is from RNAcentral.